RNAcentral lists this ribosomal RNA (465 nucleotides) under Vreelandella stevensii. RNAcentral describes it as "partial 16S ribosomal RNA". It matches the Rfam family "Bacterial small subunit ribosomal RNA", at positions 338 to 795 of the family's 1533-position model. Lineage: Bacteria; Pseudomonadati; Pseudomonadota; Gammaproteobacteria; Oceanospirillales; Halomonadaceae. The record is from RNAcentral.
CCUACGGGUGGCUGCAGUGGGGAAUAUUGGACAAUGGGGGCAACCCUGAUCCAGCCAUGCCGCGUGUGUGAAGAAGGCCCUCGGGUUGUAAAGCACUUUCAGUGAGGAAGAACGCCUGGUGGUUAAUACCCAUCAGGAAAGACAUCACUCACAGAAGAAGCACCGGCUAACUCCGUGCCAGCAGCCGCGGUAAUACGGAGGGUGCGAGCGUUAAUCGGAAUUACUGGGCGUAAAGCGCGCGUAGGUGGCUUGAUAAGCCGGUUGUGAAAGCCCCGGGCUCAACCUGGGAACGGCAUCCGGAACUGUCAAGCUAGAGUGCAGGAGAGGAAGGUAGAAUUCCCGGUGUAGCGGUGAAACGCGUAGAGAUCGGGAGGAAUACCAGUGGCGAAGGCGGCCUUCUGGACUGACACUGACACUGAGGUGCGAAAGCGUGGGUAGCAAACAGGAUUAGAUACCCUGGUAGUC